AAGGAGGAACCACAAGUCUAUGGACACA
This 28-nucleotide non-coding RNA is filed under the name Mus musculus (house mouse). The record is from RNAcentral. Lineage: Eukaryota; Metazoa; Chordata; Mammalia; Rodentia; Muridae.